UCGUCGCAUCCUGGGGCUGGAGCAGGUCCCAAGGGUUGGGCUGUUCGCCCAUUAAAGCGGCACGCGAGCUGGGUUUAGAACGUCGUGAGACAGUUCGGUCUCUAUCCGCCGCGCGCGUCAGAAACUUGAGGAGUGCUGUCCCUAGUACGAGAGGACCGGGACGGACGAACCUCUGGUCUACCAGUUGUCCCACCAGGGGCACCGCUGGAUAGCCACGUUCGGCUAGGAUAACCGCUGAAAGCAUCUAAGCGGGAAGCCUUCUCCAAGAUCAGGUUUCUCACCCUUUUAGAGGGAUAAGGCCCCCCGCAGACCACGGGUUCGAUAGGCCAGACCUGGAAGCUCAGCAAUGAGUGCAGGGAACUGGCACUAACCGGCCGAAAACUUACCAACACACC
This 395-nucleotide ribosomal RNA is filed under the name Actinomycetota bacterium. Its description in RNAcentral is "Actinobacteria bacterium (hot springs metagenome) partial 23S ribosomal RNA". It matches the Rfam family "Bacterial large subunit ribosomal RNA", at positions 2537 to 2925 of the family's 2925-position model. The record is from RNAcentral. Lineage: Bacteria; Bacillati; Actinomycetota.